CCCAGGCCUGCCCGUCCUGGAAGCCAGUGACCUGGUUGAUAAAGACAGUCCCUUCUACUAUGACUGGGAAGGCCUGCAGCUGGGCGGGGUGAUCUGUGCAGCGCUCCUGUGCAUCGCUGGAAUCUUGUUCGCCCUGAGUGGCAAAUGCAAAUGCAAGCAAGAUCAUAAGCA
Molecule: long non-coding RNA, 171 nt
Organism: Balaenoptera musculus (blue whale)
Lineage: Eukaryota; Metazoa; Chordata; Mammalia; Artiodactyla; Balaenopteridae
Exons: 4
Source: RefSeq, a predicted model, not a curated record